GGGUGGCGGAUAAGAAUCUAUCAAAUGCAAUCCUUUGCGUUAACCGUGUUGGAAGAUCCAAAAGGCAUUUGAAAGGGAAGAAACGAUGUCUGAUUUGGUGGGUUAUUUUUUGAGAAUUUGGUGCCAUAAUCAUUUAAUUUAGUGUAGCUUCCAAGCAAAAGGACCCAGAGAAAUGCAUGGUGAGCUUUAAAGAAUAGGUAACCUAACCUUUGCUCAACCGAAAGUGACAGUCCCUUUUUGUUUUGUAUCCUUGAUGAUUCUUGACAGAUUAUGUUUUCAUUAUCUGUUUUCUAAGGAUUUUUAUGAGACAUAGAGAACUAGCUACUCAUUGUCUGGCAUCUUAAUAUAGUUUAUCACCAUUGCCUGUGUGAUGUGAGGGAAUAUGCUUAUCUGAGAUAAGCCUACCAGUUAUGGAUUUUGAGCCUAUUUGGCUAUUUCUGUCCUGCAAAAAUUGGGAUGGAAUGAAAAUAGCUCAAAAUAAAGCAAAUCAAAUUGUUUUAUGAGAAAACCAAUGUUUUUUUCUUUGAACUUCUUGCUGAACUUGAAAAAUGAUAUGUAUAUUGGAUCAUAAGGUGAAUUGUCUGCCAUAGCCAAAUACCUUUGUAACAAGUUACAUGAAGACUUAGGUGUCACUGUAAGCAUAGAAUAGAUUGACAUUUUAAUUUUAUAUUUAUUGUAAUUAGAAUUUGAAUCCCAUAAAAAUAAUCCCAUCUCUUAAUUCUAAAAAAACAUAUAUUAUCAAUCAGCUUUAGCUUGGUAGUGUUGAAGCCAUUUCCAACUUUGUGAGACCUCGAGUUCAAGAAAAGAAAACAUAUAUUAAUCAAAUUAUAACUGGUCGUUUACAAAGGAUGGGGAAAAUUUUUUGUUUUCCCCUUUAGUGGAUGGAUUCCUACUUCAACUUUUGUUCUGCAGCCUGCAGUCUGAUCCUAGUAACAAGACUCUAAUUUUGCAAUGAGAAAAGAAGCUUAUUAUGACAGGCCCACCGCAAAUUCCUGAAUUAAGUAAUCUUAAGCAUCUGGAACUGAAAGUUUCAAUUCCAAAUUUAUGAGACCUCUUUCUAAUCACUCUCCUAGUAGGAGCAUCUCCUUCACUGCAGAAACUUAUCUUGUAUGACAGGCAGCUUCCCAUUGGGCAGGAGACCAUAAACAAACAACUGCAAUUGCAUGUGCAUGAAUUAAAGAAGAAAAGGGCAUUUGAUAUUCCCUGAGGCUGCAAGUGCCUGGCAUGCUGAAUUGAAAGCAUAGCUCCAGAGAUGCUAUGCUGUACACUCAAGCCACAAAUUAAGGAUGGAUAUGGACAAGGGAAAGCACAAUUUAGCACAUGGAGUCGAGCAGCAUUUUCAUCCCAACAGAUAAAAAGUGGAGAGGAAAGAAAACUAAUAUUUAUAAAAUAUAAA
Hevea brasiliensis (rubber tree) is the source of this 1396-nucleotide long non-coding RNA. RefSeq lists it as uncharacterized. The transcript has 4 exons. The record is from RefSeq and is a predicted model, not a curated record. Lineage: Eukaryota; Viridiplantae; Streptophyta; Magnoliopsida; Malpighiales; Euphorbiaceae.